RNAcentral lists this unclassified non-coding RNA (155 nucleotides) under Alternaria calendulae. RNAcentral describes it as "partial internal transcribed spacer 2". Lineage: Eukaryota; Fungi; Ascomycota; Dothideomycetes; Pleosporales; Pleosporaceae. The record is from RNAcentral.
GUACCCUCAAGCUUUGCUUGGUGUUGGGCGUUUUGUCUCCAGUUCGCUGGAGACUCGCCUUAAAGUAAUUGGCAGCCGGCCUACUGGUUUCGGAGCGCAGCACAAGUCGCGCUCUCUUCCAGCCAAGGUCAGCAUCCACAAAGCCUUUUUUCAAC